UCCAGAAGAUCUACUUAAAGGGGAAACCGAAGAAAGUUUGGGCAAAGUGCAGAAAACUUUUAAUAUUUUCAAUUAUUUCAAGCAGACCUUUGAAGAAAGAAGAGAAAAUCUCAGCACUUACUUUCAGCCAGGCCUAGAGACAAAGGAGUGGGAUUUUCCUUCUAUAAUGGUUUUUGCACAAUUUGAUACUUUUCUGGAGAGGCUCCAUGUGGUAGAUGGCCUUCAGCUAACUUGUAUGUGUGUUUUCGUGUUGCAGACCAAGAGCAGAGGUGUCAGAAAUGCCUGCAAAAUUUUUAGCAGGUGCCAUUAGAAUGACAUCUACAAUGAACAGUGCUGACUCAAUAUUUGGAAGUCGGGGAACAGUAUAAAUGCUCUCACCAUUUCAGUCAUUUCCACCAGUGUCUUUUGGCUUCCCGCAAUUUCUGGGGCUCACGUUUUCCUGCUGUUGAUUCUUUCUGGACUGGAACGUCAUCUAUCAACCUCAGAGAGAUGGACAUGCUCCCGUCACAGCCAUGGUCACAGCCCUAUCGUUUUCAACCUCAUGUAGUUCAUUAUCAUCACUACACAACAUUCCCACGUCCUCCCCUGUCUGUUGGAGUCCCCAUAUCAAUUUUGGAUGUGGCAUUCCUCCUGAGCAAAAACCCUGACCAGAGGUAUGGAGGGUUCUCAGCCCCUAGCUUUCCUCGUCAUUUUUCUGAAAUUCAUUUGCCAGCGCUAAUGCAACCAAACAUUUCUUUACAAUCCCGGUACAAGCUCACAUCUCCUCUGGUGACAGGCCCUGUGCUGCAUGCAGGAUGAGCUGGCCCCUUCAUUGAAUGGGAACAUGAUCAUCACAGGAAUGGAACAAAAUGGCACUCGAAUUGCACAAAAUGUAUUCACAGCAAAUGAUUGUAUGGGUCAGACAAACGAGCAGACUGGAUCCAUGAUUGCUCAUCACCUCUGACACUCAUACCUACACCUGCCUGCUCAAAGCUUCAUUUAGGUUUCCCUCCAAUUCUCUUAGAUAUGGAGCUUUUUUCUUCCUUUCUUUCAAGGCAACCUGAAGGCGCUUUGUCCAAAAUUCAAGGGAUUCCAAAUUCACUGCUCAUUCUUUGGUGCAUCUCUGAAUAUCCCUGAGGUCUGCAAGAUUUAUGAUGCUUCCACUUUCCUGAGAAGCUGUCAUUCUCUGUGUACUUAUGCCUUGUCUCAUUUUACUCCUCAUUCAUCUGUCAUUUCACUCUUCUGCACAAAAUGUAUUGUUCACCUUUCUGAAGCUGCUCAACAUGGAAAGGCUUCCCUGCACUCCU
Long non-coding RNA from Rhineura floridana, 1286 nucleotides. RefSeq lists it as uncharacterized. Lineage: Eukaryota; Metazoa; Chordata; Lepidosauria; Squamata; Rhineuridae. The record is from RefSeq and is a predicted model, not a curated record. The transcript is spliced from 4 exons.